UACGUAGGGUGCAAGCGUUAAUCGGAAUUACUGGGCGUAAAGCGUGCGCAGGCGGGUUUAUAAGACAGAGGUGAAAUCCCCGGGCUCAACCUGGGAACUGCAUUUGUGACUGUAGAGCUGGAGUGCGGCAGAGGGGGAUGGAAUUCCGCGUGUAGCAGUGAAAUGCGUAGAUAUGCGGAGGAACACCGAUGGCGAAGGCAAUCCCCUGGGCCUGCACUGACGCUCAUGCACGAAAGCGUGGGGAGCAAACAGG
RNAcentral lists this ribosomal RNA (253 nucleotides) under uncultured bacterium. Its description in RNAcentral is "partial 16S ribosomal RNA". It matches the Rfam family "Bacterial small subunit ribosomal RNA", at positions 524 to 776 of the family's 1533-position model. The record is from RNAcentral.